This 769-nucleotide ribosomal RNA is filed under the name Clostridioides difficile. RNAcentral describes it as "bacterial LSU rRNA". It matches the Rfam family "Bacterial large subunit ribosomal RNA", at positions 1112 to 1898 of the family's 2925-position model. The record is from RNAcentral. Lineage: Bacteria; Bacillati; Bacillota; Clostridia; Peptostreptococcales; Peptostreptococcaceae.
GCAGCCACUCAUUCAAAGAGUGCGUAAUAGCUCACUGGUCGAGUGAUCCUGCGCCGAAGAUUUCCGGGGCUAAAACUUACUACCGAAGCUACGGCAUCAGUAAUGAUGGGUAGGGGAGCUUCCCAUACGGGUUGAAGCAUGACCGUAAGGACAUGGGGACUGUAUGGGAGUAAGAAAGUUGGCAUGAGUAGCAAGAUGUGGGUGAGAAUCCCACAGGCCGUAAACCCAAGGUUUCCAGGGGAAGGUUCGUCCGCCCUGGGUUAGUCGGGACCUAAGCUGAGGCCGAAAGGCGUAGGUGAUGGACAACAGGUUGAUAUUCCUGUACUACCGAUAACCGUUUGAGAGAAGGGAUGACACAGUAGGAUAAGCUAAGCACACUGUUGGUUAUGUGUGCCCAAGCAUUGAGGCAGUCAAAGUAGGCAAAUACGCUUUGAUAAUGCUGGGAUGUGAUGGGGAGCGAAAUUUAGUAGCGAAGUAGCUGAUUUCACACUGUCAAGAAAAGUCUCUAUCGAGGUUAAAGGUACCCGUACCGCAAACCGACACAGGUGGGUGAGGAGAGUAUCCUAAGGCCAGCGAGAGAACUGUUGUUAAGGAACUCGGCAAAAUGACCCCGUAACUUAGGGAUAAGGGGUGCCACCAUCAGGUGGCCGCAGAGAAUAGGCUCAAGCGACUGUUUACCAACAACAUAGGUUUCUGCUAAGUCGCUAGACGAUGUAUAGGAGCUGACGCCUGCCCGGUGCUGGAAGGUUAAGGGGAUCUGUUAGAGCAA